RNAcentral lists this ribosomal RNA (497 nucleotides) under uncultured bacterium. Its description in RNAcentral is "partial 16S ribosomal RNA". It matches the Rfam family "Bacterial small subunit ribosomal RNA", at positions 28 to 507 of the family's 1533-position model. The record is from RNAcentral.
GAUGAACGCUGGCGGCGUGCCUAAUACAUGCAAGUCGAGCGAACAGACGAGGAGCUUGCUCCUCUGACGUUAGCGGCGGACGGGUGAGUAACACGUGGAUAACCUACCUAUAAUACUGGUAUAACUUCGGGAAACCGGAGCUAAUACCGGAUAAUAUAUUGAACCGCAUGGUUCAAUAGUGAAAGACGGUUUUGCUGUCACUUAUAGAUGGAUCCGCGCCGCAUUAGCUAGUUGGUAAGGUAACGGCUUACCAAGGCAACGAUGCGUAGACGACCUGAGAGAGUGAUCGGCCACACUGGAACGGGGACACGCUCCAGACUCCUACGGGAGGCAGCAGUAGGGAAUCUUCCGCAAUGGGCGAAAGCUUGACGGAGCAACGCCGAGUGAGUGAUGACGGUCUUCGGAUCGUAAAACUCUGUUAUUAGGGAAGAACAAAUGUGUAAGUAACUAUGCACGUCUUGACGGUAACUAAUCAGAAAGCCACGGCUAACUACGUG